RNAcentral lists this long non-coding RNA (255 nucleotides) under Elaeis guineensis (African oil palm). Its description in RNAcentral is "long non-coding RNA (EGUI_LNC016777)". Lineage: Eukaryota; Viridiplantae; Streptophyta; Magnoliopsida; Arecales; Arecaceae. The record is from RNAcentral.
GCUAGGAUCGAUAGAUCUCAUCUUGAUGUAUAUCCCACUCCUAUAAUGGACCAACUAUCGCCAACAUCUACUACAAUGGCUCAUUGAGACCUAUGUUAAUAGUCAGUCAAACUCCAGCAGCAUCACUACGAGCAGUAGUGCCAUCUCCGAUCAAAAGACCAAUCAUACAACUGCAGCAUCGAGAAAGUCACUAAUGAGUGAGCAGACAUCCAUGUGACUUCUCAUAUUGGUCACGCUCAGUGCUAGUUGUUCUCU